Molecule: ribosomal RNA, 741 nt
Filed under: uncultured fungus
Lineage: Eukaryota; Fungi
Description: eukaryotic LSU rRNA
Rfam family: Eukaryotic large subunit ribosomal RNA
Source: RNAcentral
CCCGCUGAACUUAAGCAUAUCAAUAAGCGGAGGAAAAGAAACUAACAAGGAUUCCCCUAGUAACGGCGAGUGAAGCGGGAAAAGCUCAAAUUUAAAAUCUGGCGGGGUACCUCGUCCGAGUUGUAAUUUCAAGAUGCGUUUUCGGUGCGCGCCUGGGUAUAAGUCCUUUGGAACAGGGCAUCAUAGAGGGUGAGAAUCCCGUUUAUGACCCGGAGUGGCGUACUAUGUGAUACGACAUCAAAGAGUCAGGUUGUUUGGGAAUGCAGCCUAAAAUGGGUGGUAAAUUUCAUCUAAAGCUAAAUAUUGGCGAGAGACCGAUAGCGAACAAGUACCGUGAGGGAAAGAUGAAAAGAACUUUGAAAAGAGAGUAAAACAGUACGUGAAAUUGUUGAAAGGGAAACGUUUGAAAUCAGUCAUGUGGGCGGGUAAUCAGCUUGGCCCUUGGGUCUUGUGCACUUUCCCGUCUCGCAGGUCAGCGUCGGUUUUGUUUUGCCGGAUAAAUGCCAAGGGAAUGUAGCUCCACCUUUCAUGAGGAGGGGUGUUAUAGCCCUGGUAAAUACGGUGGUCGAGACCGAGGUCUGCAGUCGAUGCCUCUCGGGGCUGGGGACUCUAUCGCUUGUUCGCACCCGUGCCUAGACAGCUUGCUGACUAGGUGUGUGGUUGUGGGCGACACGGUGGCCUACCACACAUCGACUUAGGUCGCUGACAUAAUGGUUUUAAAUGACCCGUCUUGAAACACGG